Molecule: ribosomal RNA, 253 nt
Filed under: uncultured bacterium
Lineage: Bacteria
Description: partial 16S ribosomal RNA
Rfam family: Bacterial small subunit ribosomal RNA
Source: RNAcentral
UACGAAGGGUGCAAACGUUGCUCGGAAUUAUUGGGCGUAAAGCGCACGUAGGCGGCUUUGUAAGUUGGAUGUGAAAUCCCUCGGCUCAACCAAGGAAGUGCAUUCAAAACUGCAAAGCUUGAGUACUUAAGAGGAUCGCGGAAUUCCCGGUGUAGAGGUGAAAUUCGUAGAUAUCUGGAGGAAUACCGGUGGCGAAGGCGGCCCCCUGGACAAAGACUGACGCUCAGGUGCGAAAGCGUGGGGAGCAAACGGG